GUCCUGUGUGAGACCAUGAAGGACACGCCCUACGACUACAAAGCCGACAUCUGGUCCCUGGGCAUCACGCUGAUUGAGAUGGCCCAGAUCGAGCCGCCACACCACGAGCUCAACCCCAUGCGGGUCCUGCUAAAGAUCGCCAAGUCGGACCCUCCCACGCUGCUCACGCCCUCUAAGUGGUCUGUAGAGUUCCGUGACUUCCUGAAGAUAGCCCUGGAUAAGAACCCAGAAACCCGACCCAGCGCCGCGCAGCUGCUGGAGGUGAGUGGAUUCCCUCCCACUCUGCUCCCUGAAGGGUGGAGCCUAAUGAACUCACCAGUGACCCGGACGCUGGGCGAGUUCUCA
Molecule: small RNA, 345 nt
Filed under: Pongo abelii (Sumatran orangutan)
Lineage: Eukaryota; Metazoa; Chordata; Mammalia; Primates; Hominidae
Description: retained intron
Source: RNAcentral